Molecule: ribosomal RNA, 255 nt
Filed under: uncultured bacterium
Lineage: Bacteria
Description: partial 16S ribosomal RNA
Rfam family: Bacterial small subunit ribosomal RNA
Source: RNAcentral
CGUAGGGGCGAGCGUUGUCCGGAAUUAUUGGGCGUAAAGCGCGCGUAGGCGGCUUGGUUAAGUCCUGUGUGAACGACCACGGCUCGAACCGUGGGGUGCAACGGGAAACUGGCCGGCUUGAGUGCAGGAGAGGGGAGCGGAAUUCCCGGUGUAGCGGUGGAAUGCGUAGAGAUCGGGAGGAACACCAGUGGCGAAGGCGGCUCCCUGGCCUGUAACUGACGCUGAGGCGCGAAAGCGUGGGGAGCGAACAGGAUU